Molecule: ribosomal RNA, 607 nt
Filed under: Ischnura ramburii
Lineage: Eukaryota; Metazoa; Arthropoda; Insecta; Odonata; Coenagrionidae
Description: partial large subunit ribosomal RNA
Rfam family: Eukaryotic large subunit ribosomal RNA
Source: RNAcentral
UCGCGGCGGCGUGCGCAGAAGGGUCUGGGCUCGAGCCUGCCUGGAGCCGCCGCCGGUGCAGAUCUUGGUGGUAGUAGCAAAUACUCCAGCGAGGCCCUGGAGGACUGAUGUGGAGAAGGGUUUCGUGUGAACAGCCGUUGCACACGAGUCAGUCGAUCCUAAGCCCUAGGAGAAAUCCGACGCCUACGGCGACGGGAAUUUUGAACGUAUUGAAACCCGUUGAUCGGGCGAAAGGGAAUCCGGUUCCUAUUCCGGAACCCGGCAGCGGAACCGCUGUUUGUCGGGCCCUCACAAGGGGUUCGUCAGGGUAACCUAAAAGGGCCCGGAGACGCCGUCGGGAGCCCCGGAAAGAGUUUUCUUUUCUGCAUGAGCGUUCGAGUUCCCUGGAAUCCUCUCGCAGGGAGAUAGGGUUUGGAACGCGAAGAGCACCGCAGUUGCGGCGGUGCCCGGGAAUUCCCGACGGACCUUGAAAAUCCGGGAGAGGGCCACGUGGAGGUGUCGCGCCGGCUCGUACCCAUAUCCGCAGCAGGUCUCCAAGGUGAAGAGCCUCUAGUCGAUAGAAUAAUGUAGGUAAGGGAAGUCGGCAAAUCGGAUCCGUAACUUCGGG